CGAGUUUGAUCCUGGCUCAGAAUGAACGUUGGCGGCGUGAUUAGGCAUGCAAGUCGAGCGUACCCAGCAAGUGGGGAAGCGGACGAAACGGGGUAGUAAGGCGUCGGUACGUGCCCUCGGGACGAGGAUAGCCACGGGAAACUGUGGGUAAUACUCGAUGAUCUCGUGAGAGCAAAGGUGUGAUUCCGCCAGGGGAGCGGCCGACGUGGUAUUAGGUAGUUGGUGGGGUAAUGGCCCACCAAGCCUGGGAUGCCUAGGGGGUGUGAGAGCAUGGCCCCCACCAUUGGGACUGAGAUACUGCCCAGACACCUACGGGUGGCUGCAGUCGAGAAUCUUCGGCAAUGGGCGCAAGCCUGACCGAGCGACGCCGCGUGCGGGAUGAAGGCCUUCGGGUUGUAAACCGCUGUCAGAGGGGAUGAAAUCACAGUGGGUUCUCCCAUUGUGUUGACAGAGCCUCAGAGGAAGCGCGGGCUAAGUUCGUG
RNAcentral lists this ribosomal RNA (482 nucleotides) under uncultured bacterium. RNAcentral describes it as "bacterial SSU rRNA". It matches the Rfam family "Bacterial small subunit ribosomal RNA", at positions 9 to 507 of the family's 1533-position model. The record is from RNAcentral.